GGAAGCUGUCGCUCUCAGAGUAGAAAGGUUUCAGCCAGUGGAGGGCCUCUCCUUCAAUUUCACCAGAAAAUGAGCUGUCAUCACUUGGAGAGCGGUGCCCAAGCUGGAUGCCCAGUCUUCUGACAGAUUCCCUGAGCCAUAAGGUGAUUCUACACUGACACCAACACCCUCCAGACUCUUCCUGGGCGCUGCACCCUUGUGUUUCCAACUCCUGAGUGGCAGCAGUGACAAGCACAGGGCUUGGAUGAAUUUGCCCUCUAGUUACAACCUCACCUCAAGGUGGACAUCCUCAUUCUGGCCCCUGCUAUGUUUUAGCAGAUCACAACCAAAGGUACACAAGCACAGAGAGAAUUUGCCAUCCACCCAUGCCUUGCUCCCAGCUGAAGCAGUCCCUGGGUUUACUUUGGCACAGUCCCCAUCUGUGUGCUUAGCACCCACUCUCCUAGACCACAGACUGAUGUAACAGGGGCACACCAGCCUUUAACCUGGCACUGACACUGCAGAUAAACCUUGGGCUUAAAGCACUGUGUGUCACUGAUCUGGGAGCACAUUUCAGUCUCCAGAAUUAAAAUGGGGUUUGAGUUCAAGUCCAAACUAGUGAGACAAAAAACAGAAAGACAACUAAAAGAUAAUAAAACGCUAAUGUUCUUCCCUUCUCCAUGGAGGAGUGGGGACACUGGCAGAGCUGCAUGUGAAGCCCUGGGCUGGUCCAGCUGGAGGCUGUAGGUCAGGAGUGAAACUUCAGUAAGAAGCAAAUAAUACCCAAGAAGUGCUACAGAAGAAGAACCACGGAGAAAAAUCCAGAGACAUCACAAAGAAUUAAUUUGUAUCCAAAUGUUUCUGAUGACAUCCCAGUAAAAAAUUGGGAAAAUUUUUU
This is a long non-coding RNA of Haemorhous mexicanus (house finch), 877 nucleotides long. RefSeq lists it as uncharacterized. The transcript is spliced from 2 exons. NCBI's taxonomy places the organism in Eukaryota, Metazoa, Chordata, Aves, Passeriformes, Fringillidae. The record is from RefSeq and is a predicted model, not a curated record.